This 1565-nucleotide ribosomal RNA is filed under the name Myotis welwitschii. RNAcentral's name for it is "16S ribosomal RNA". It matches the Rfam family "Bacterial large subunit ribosomal RNA". The record is from RNAcentral. Lineage: Eukaryota; Metazoa; Chordata; Mammalia; Chiroptera; Vespertilionidae.
AACUAAAACUAGCUCAAAACACAUUAUAUAAUAUUAUCCCAAAAUAUUAAAAUAAAACAUUCAUUAAAAUAAAAGUAUAGGUGAUAGAAAUUCUAAUUGACGCUAUAGAAAUAGUACCGUAAGGGAAAAAAUGAAAGAAAACUUAUAAGUGAAAAAAAGCAAAGCUUUACCCUUGUACCUUUUGCAUAAUGAUUCAACUAGAAACUAUUAGCAAAAAGAAUUUAAGUUAAAACCCCCGAAACUAGACGAGCUACCCACUAGCAGCCUAAAGAGCAAACUCGUCUAUGUGGCAAAAUAGUGAGAAGACUAAUGGGUAGAGGCAAUAAACCUAUCGAGCCUAGUGAUAGCUGGUUGUCCAGAACAGAAUUUUAGUUCUAAUUUAAAUCUACUAUAAAAUAACAUAAACUUAAAUGUAGGAUUAAAUAAUAAUCUAAAAAGGUACAGCUUUUUAGAUAAGGGAUACAACCCCUAUUAGCGAGUUAAACAAAAAUAAACUAUUUUAGUUGGCCUAAAAGCAGCCAUCAAACAAGAUAGCGUUCAAGCUCAACAAACAUACAUAAAACUAAUCUCAAUUAUUAGCAAUAACACUCCUAAUAUAAAACUGGACUAUUCUAUUUUUAAAUAGAAGCAAUAAUGUUGAUAUAAGUAACAAGAAAUAAUUCUCCUUGCAUGCGUGUAUAUCAGAACGAAUAAUUCGCUGAUAGUUAACAAUCAUAAAUACAAUUACUCAAUUUAAACUCUAACAUAAUUGUUAGUCCAACACAGGUAUGCAAAUAAGGAAAGAUUAAAUAAAGUAAAAGGAACUCGGCAAACACAAACCCCGCCUGUUUACCAAAAACAUCACCUCUAGCAUUAAAAGUAUUAGAGGCACUGCCUGCCCAGUGACUUUAGUUUAACGGCCGCGGUAUCCUGACCGUGCAAAGGUAGCAUAAUCACUUGUUCUCUAAAUAAGGACUUGUAUGAAUGGCUUCACGAGGGUUUUACUGUCUCUUACUUUCAAUCAGUGAAAUUGACUUUCCCGUGAAGAGGCGGGGAUACAAAAAUAAGACGAGAAGACCCUAUGGAGCUUUAAUUAAUCAACUCAUAGACUACUAUAAUACUCUACCAAGAAUUAAACCUAUUCUAUUUGAGUUGACAAUUUAGGUUGGGGUGACCUCGGAAUAAAAAGCAACUUCCGAGAAAAUUUAAAUUAAGACACACAAGUCAAAAUUAUCCUAUUACAUAUUGAUCCGCUAGUAGCGAUCAACGAAACAAGUUACCCUAGGGAUAACAGCGCAAUCCUAUUUAAGAGUCCAUAUCGACAAUUAGGGUUUACGACCUCGAUGUUGGAUCAGGACAUCCCAAUGGUGCAGCCGCUAUUAAUGUGUUCGUUUGUUCAACGAUUAAAGUCCUACGUGAUCUGAGUUCAGACCGGAGAAAUCCAGGUCGGUUUCUAUCUAUUUUCAGGCCUCUCCUAGUACGAAAGGAUAAGAGAGACAGGGCCCACUUUUAAUAAGCGCCCUAAUUAAUCAGAUGAAUUAAUCUUAAUCUUAUUAUAUAUAUAUACCCGCCCAAGAACAGGGCUC